AAUGGGGGAUAACGUAGCGAAAGUUACGCUAAUACCGCAUAUGCCCUGAGGGGGAAAGGUGGGGAUCGCAAGACCUAUCGUUUUCGGAGUGGCCGAUAUCAGAUUAGCUAGUUGGUGAGGUAAAGGCUCACCAAGGCGACGAUCUGUAGCUGGUCUGAGAGGACGACCAGCCACACUGGGACUGAGACACGGCCCAGACUCCUACGGGAGGCAGCAGUGGGGAAUUUUGGACAAUGGGGGCAACCCUGAUCCAGCCAUGCCGCGUGAGUGAAGAAGGCCUUCGGGUUGUAAAGCUCUUUCAGACGGAAAGAAAUCGCUAUUCCUAAUAUGAGUGGUGGAUGACGGUACCGUCAGAAGAAGCACCGGCUAACUACGUGCCAGCAGCCGCGGUAAUACGUAGGGUGCGAGCGUUAAUCGGAAUUACUGGGCGUAAAGCGUGCGCAGGCGGUUUUGUAAGACAGACGUGAAAUCCCCGGGCUUAACCUGGGAACUGCGUUUGUGACUGCAAGGCUAGAGUACGGCAGAGGGGGGUAGAAUUCCA
Molecule: ribosomal RNA, 541 nt
Filed under: uncultured Gallionellaceae bacterium
Lineage: Bacteria; Pseudomonadati; Pseudomonadota; Betaproteobacteria; Nitrosomonadales; Gallionellaceae
Description: bacterial SSU rRNA
Rfam family: Bacterial small subunit ribosomal RNA
Source: RNAcentral